UCCGUUUACGAUUAUACCUUUGAUCUAGGUCUGGCACCAUCUUGGAGAAGCAUAAAUUGUCAUUAAGCAUUGUGGAACAGAGGGGGAAGUUAACUCUUCCUGAGCAUGAUUAAAUAUGCAAGCAACUACCAAAAAUCAGCGCAGCAUCUUUAGGUCAGAAAGCACGAUGGGAGAGAGAGACGAGAGAAAGAAAAACUUCCAAAAAGGGAACCAUCACGGGUAACACGUUAAUUCUGAUUCUAAUUCUGCUGAAGAAUAAAAAGAAGAAUUGAAUAAAUAGAUUUAGACUCUGUUCUGUUUAAAUUUUUAAUAGGCACGCUCACAGGCAAGAAAAGCAUAUCGUCAAAGAGUUAAACAAGGCGAAGCUAAACAAGCCAAUGAUAUUCUCAUUCAGCAAGGCGUUAUUCCCACGACUCAUCUUCAACCUGAUCAGUCAUGCGGUAUCGAUCAGCAAGGCGUUUUUCCCACGACUCUUCUUCAACCUGAUGAGUCAUGCAGUAAUGAAGGAUACUUUACUCAGGAAUUAUGCAGUGAGGGCGCUCGUAAUGAAUUUGUACUAGAAAGAACGAAGGAAAGGCGGCGCUCCUCCCAGCAACAACGCCGUAACAAAGAAUUAGAACAGCCAACAAAAGUGCAAGCACAUAGAGAAGUGUGUUCCUUGGCGCAAAAGAAACGUCGUGCACGAGAGAAUAAAGAAAAAGAACAGCAGCCAAAAAGAGAACCAUCAAAGCUUGGCGAGAAAAGCAUGUCUUGAAAGAGGUAAACAGAGUCAGCAAAUAGAAGAAGACAGUGAUACUAUCAUUGAACACAAUGUUCAAACAGAAUGUGAACAAACACACAAACAAACGCGGUCCUC
This is a long non-coding RNA of Papaver somniferum (opium poppy), 856 nucleotides long. RefSeq lists it as uncharacterized. The record is from RefSeq and is a predicted model, not a curated record. The transcript has 7 exons. Lineage: Eukaryota; Viridiplantae; Streptophyta; Magnoliopsida; Ranunculales; Papaveraceae.